This 1089-nucleotide long non-coding RNA is filed under the name Bemisia tabaci. RNAcentral's name for it is "lncRNA ENSSSA3NGG003021". Lineage: Eukaryota; Metazoa; Arthropoda; Insecta; Hemiptera; Aleyrodidae. The record is from RNAcentral.
GUUUUUAGUCGCGGCUACAUUGCCGAAUAUCCCACAACCGAUAUAUACCAUUAAUCCGAGAUAAUGUUUCAAUGUUGCCAUUUUUGUGAGGACGCGUUCGAUAUUUUCGUUGAGAGCAAUGUGAAGUGGGUGUAUUUCGCGUGAAAAAUGGAAACACUGUAUUUAAUUGAAGUGGAGAUGUCGGUGCUGCAGAUAAGAGGAUGAGCUCUUCAGAGCGGAAUCGCGGGUGUGUGUAUUAGAAUAGGUUCGUGUCGUGCUCGCCUUGGCGAGGAUCGCUGUUCGUGUGAUGCAACCGAGAUUUUAGUGGGAUUAGCUAAAGGUACCAUUGUGCCGCCGCGGGUGUCUUAUUCUACGAUGAACUUUCAAAAUGAUGGGCGAUGGUCCCUUGGCAUUGGCAUGGGUCUGUUCCUUCUGGCGAUCACAAUCAGCUCCCUGUUGGUAAUUAGUGUGUGCCAACAAAACGCUUACGUUUGGCUGGGAAUUAUAAUGGUGUCAAUCAUAUUUCUCACAACAUUCACUUGCACGACGCAAGUCCCUAUCCUCUGGGCCCAGGAAACAGAUUCGCGCGAAAAUUCUGUUGUAGAGGGUGAUCCUGCACAUAAUUUAUCACCGUAUUGGAUUCGAGUGACAGAUUUACCACCCAGUUACUCAGUGGCAACUUCUCACCAUGUGAUGGCCUUCAGAGGAGAGAACAUUGAGCCACCUCCCUACUCAACCGUGAUUCUUCAAACACCAAACGUAACUUACGGCCACAGCAACCCUGUUUUCAACUAUAACGAGCCAGAUGUUGCUAGUUUACAACAGGUGACCGCGCACAGGCCACCUGCAGAGAAAAGCUGUGCAAACCAGCCAUAUUUGUGUGAAAGGUGUCAUCAUGAGACAAAUUCAGUCCCUCAAAGAAAGACUGAGAAAACUUCUGACGAUGACAGGACAUUGACCUCAGAGUCUCAGCCAUCAGAUAGACUUUCCGAAAAUCAAAACAACAAUCAUAGUCAAGCGAAUGAAGUUCUACCCCCUGAUAGACCAACUGACCCGGCAGUUUUGCUAUCAAAAGAAACACAUCCUCAGUCGCAAAAUAUUCAAGAGUAA